RNAcentral lists this ribosomal RNA (501 nucleotides) under uncultured bacterium. RNAcentral's name for it is "partial 16S ribosomal RNA". It matches the Rfam family "Bacterial small subunit ribosomal RNA", at positions 30 to 523 of the family's 1533-position model. The record is from RNAcentral.
AUUGAACGCUGGCGGCAUGCCUUACACAUGCAAGUCGAACGGCAGCACGGGUGCUUGCACCUGGUGGCGAGUGGCGAACGGGUGAGUAAUAUAUCGGAACGUACCUUAUUGUGGGGGAUAACGCAGCGAAAGCUGUGCUAAUACCGCAUAAUCCCUAAGGGGGAAAGCGGGGGACCGUAAGGCCUCGCGCAAUUAGAGCGGCCGAUACCUGAUUAGCUAGUUGGUGAGGUAAAGGCUCACCAAGGCAACGAUCAGUAGCUGGUCUGAGAGGACGAUCAGCCACACUGGGACUGAGACACGGCCCAGACUCCUACGGGAGGCAGCAGUGGGGAAUUUUGGACAAUGGGGGCAACCCUGAUCCAGCAAUGCCGCGUGAGUGAAGAAGGCCUUCGGGUUGUAAAGCUCUUCUGUCAGGGAAGAAACAGCAGCUCUAACACAGUUUGCGAAUGACGGUACCUGAAGAGUAAGCACCGGCUAACUACGUGCCAGCCGCCGCAGUAA